RNAcentral lists this long non-coding RNA (1487 nucleotides) under Arabidopsis lyrata. RNAcentral describes it as "long non-coding RNA (ALYR_LNC002716)". The record is from RNAcentral. Lineage: Eukaryota; Viridiplantae; Streptophyta; Magnoliopsida; Brassicales; Brassicaceae.
AAAAAAAAGAUAAACGUUUACCUGAGAAAAAAAACGGAAAAACGAAGAAAAAAAAAUCGCCGACUGCCGACUGGUACAACAGAUCGAGGAAAUUGUCGAUUUCUCUCCGAGCUAAUUCAAGAUGGAUUCAGUUGAUCAAUUUUGAUUCUAUUUUCCGAUCAUGUAAUCGAAUCUACAAGAUGGCCGGUGAACAUGCUCCGAUUUGAAACAUGUUUCUUCUAAAUCCCUAGGUAAGAUCUUCUCCUUUGUUUCUUAUCUCUUGUAGAUAUAGAUUUCUUCGAUUUGAAAUCAAAAUUAAUUGUAUCUAGAGCUAGAUUGAUUUAGGCAAUCAAGAAAGAACAUGUUGCAUCUCUUAAUAAUACACAUACGGUAGUAUACAAAUAUAAGAGUUCAUUAUCAUCUUGGAUACAUAAUUCAUAUGGUCAGACUUGAAUAUAAAACUAACAAUUGUUUUGCAUUAUAGGUGAUUACUGCCAUGGAUAUACAAUUAACUCACGUACCGGCACUAAUGGCUUAUCUCCCGAGAGCAGACAAUUAAUGUUAGUACUUUAACAUUAACAUUCUAGAUAAAAUCAGAUUUUUUUCGAUGAUUGUUUGCAGCUGUAAUAUGAUUUAACAUUGUUGUCUGGAUCUUAUAUGAGAGCAUAAUGAAAAUAGAAUUCUAAAAAGAGAAAAUGAAAAAAACAUGAAAGUAUUAUAGUGUCAACAAUUGGAAAAAUUAUCAUUUAGAUGGUAAUCCACAGUAUCACUUCUAAUCCUUGGAGUCGUUGUACCAUCAACGAUCUUGUUAACAAUUUGAAAAAGUAAAAGUGAUUAUAUAUAUAUAUAGAUAUAUAUAUAUAUAUUAGCCGUUUUAAAAUAGUAGAGAAUAUCAAAAAGAAAGGGAAAAUGAAUCGGUAUACUAAUAUAUUCUUAGUGUAGAUUAUGAUAAUGAUUGCUUAUGGAGUGAAUUAUGUAUUAUUUAAGUUGAAAAAUCCUAGAUUCUGGUGUGAUGUCUGCAAGAUAAUCAAAGAAAAUGAAACAAAACAAUAAAAUUGCAAACUUCAACUCCAAAACAUAACACCAAAAUUAAUUCACUCCUCAAUCUUGACCUUAAGACCAAGCAGCUUCUUUGAGUCUACCAUCUUCUCCGUAAUGUUCACAUCUUCCUUCUGCUCACCAUCAUUUUGUAUUGUUUUCAUGUAUGCAGGAUCCUCAAUUGAAACACGCUAUGCAAACUUGUACGGUAAAACAUCUCUAGAGGUAUGCAAAAUAAAUAUCUUGCUAGAUAGAUAAGAAUUCAGAGGGAUCGUUUAGAAUGAGAAAAAUUGUGGUUGUGGUAAUUGUUGGGUAGAGAUUGUUAUUUAUAGAGGAGAUUCUUAGUCUAAGGUUUUGGUAGCGUCGGUUUCAGGAUAUCUUGGAGAGCAAGCUGAAAAAUCAUAGAUACGAAUCAAAAAUUAGAAUGAUCCACGCAUGUUUAAGGGAAGAUUGCAAAAUCAUUAUAUAAC